GAUAAAGAAAGUAAGCAAGGGCAGACGGUGGAUGCCUUGGCUCUCGGAGGCGAUGAAGGACGUGAUAAGCUGCGAUAAGCUUGGGGUAGGUGCAAAUAACCUUUGAUCCCAAGAUUUCCGAAUGGGGCAACCCGGCUGGUAGAAGGCCAGUCAUUCCGUAAGGAAGGCGAACGUGGGGAACUGAAACAUCUAAGUACCCAUAGGAGAAGAAAACAAAAGUGAUUCCGCAAGUAGUGGCGAGCGAACGCGGAACAGCCCAAACCGAUGAUGUUUNAACAAACGGCCGUAGACGGUGAAAGCCCAGUAUACGACUCUUUAACGAAGCCUAGUGGAAUCCUGAGUAGCGCGGAGCACGAGAAAUUCUGUGUGAAUCAGCGGGGCCCAUCCCGUAAGGCUAAAUACUCCCGAGAGACCGAUAGCGAACCAGUACUGUGAAGGAAAGGUGAAAAGCACCUCGAACAGAGGAGUGAAAUAGUCCCUGAAACCGUCUGCCUACAAGCGGUCGGAGCAACGUAAGUUGUGACGGCGUGCCUUUUGCAUAAUGAACCUACGAGUUACUUUCUCCGGCAAGGUUAAGGGCUUCAGGCCCGGAGCCGAAGCGAAAGCGAGUCUUAAUAGGGCGUGAUAGUCGGAGUGAGUAGACGCGAAACCAAGUGAUCUACCCUUGGUCAGGAUGAAGGUUGGGUAACACCAACUGGAGGUCCGAAUGGGUAUACGUUGAAAAGUGUUCCAAUGAACUGAGGGUAGGGGUGAAAGGCUAAUCAAACUUGGAGAUAGCUCGUACUCCCCGAAAUGCAUUUAGGUGCAGCCUUUAUUUAGUAUAGCAUGAGGUAGAGCGACUGAUUGGAUGCGAGGGCUUCACCGCCUAUCAAGUCCAGAUAAACUCCGAAUGCGUGCUAUAUAUUGAUAAGGAGUGAGGGCGCGGGUGCUAAGGUCCGCGUCCGAGAGGAGAAGAAUCCAGACCAUCAGCUAAGGUCCCCAAAUAACAGUUAAGUUGAACUAACGAAGUCGGACUGCAGAGACAGCUAGGAUGUUGGCUUGGAAGCAGCCAUUCAUUUAAAGAGUGCGUAACAGCUCACUAGUCGAGGAGUCCGGCGUGGAUAAUACUCGGGCAUAAACUGUUUACCGAAGCUAUGGAUGUAGAAAUACAUGGUAGGGGAGCAUUCCAACGGCGUUGAAGGUGAAGGAUGACCUUUGCUGGAGCUUUUGGAAACGCAAAUGUAGGUAUAAGUAACGAUAAAGGAGGUGAGAAACCUCCUCGCCGAAAGACUAAGGUUUCCUGAUCAACGUUAAUCGGAUCAGGGUAAGUCGGGACCUAAGGUUAAGCCGAACGGCGAUACCGAUGGAAGAAUGGUUUAAUAUUCCCAUACUACUUUAUGGAGCGAUGUGGAGACGGAGAAGUGAAAGUCCUGCCAUCUGACGGAAUAGGUGGUUGAAGAGUGUAGAUGUAGAUUCCUGUAGGCAAAUCCGCAGGGAGAGUCGACCUUGACAGUAUGCCGCGUGCUUGCACAAGGCAAAAUGGACGUAAUCAGGCUCCCAAGAAAAUCCGCUAAGCAUAUUCAUAAAGUACCCGUACCGUAAACGGACACACGUAGUUGGGUUGAAAAUACUGAGGCGCUCGAGUGAUUCACGGUUAAGGAACUAGGCAAAUUGACCCUGUAACUUCGGGAUAAAGGGUCCCUACUGAGAGGUAGGGCGCAGAGAAUAGGUCCAGGCAACUGUUUAACAAAAACACAUGGCUGUGCGAAAUAGAAAUAUGAAGUAUACAGCCUGACACCUGCCCGGUGCUGGAAGGUUAAGAGGAGAGCUCAUCGCAAGAGAAGGCUUGAAUUGAAGCCCCAGUAAACGGCGGCCGUAACUAUAACGGUCCUAAGGUAGCGAAAUUCCUUGUCGGGUAAGUUCCGACCUGCACGAAUGGUGUAAUGAUCUGGACACUGUCUCAACCGUGAGCUCGGUGAAAUUGUAGUAUCGGUGAAGAUGCCGAUUACCCGCGAUGGGACGAAAAGACCCCGUGAACCUUUACUAUAGCUUUACAUUGAAUUUGGGCAAUCGAUGUGUAGGAUAGGCCGGAGNUGGUUGUUUGAGUUCUAACCCGCAGAAGCGGGGACACUGUAUGGUGGGUAGUUUGACUGGGGUGGUCGCCUCCAAAAGAGUAACGGAGGCUUCUAAAGGUACCCUCAGACCGAUUGGUAACCGGUCGUAGAGUGUAAUGGCAUAAGGGUGCUUGACUGGGAGACAGACAAGUCGAUCAGGUAGGAAACUAGAGCAUAGUGAUCCGGUGGUUCCGCAUGGAAGGGCCAUCGCUCAAAGGAUAAAAGGUACUCCGGGGAUAACAGGCUGAUCGCUCCCAAGAGCUCAUAUCGACGGAGCGGUUUGGCACCUCGAUGUCGGCUCGUCACAUCCUGGGGCUGGAGAAGGUCCCAAGGGUUGGGCUGUUCGCCCAUUAAAGUGGCACGCGAGCUGGGUUCAGAACGUCGUGAGACAGUUCGGUCUCUAUCUAUCGUGGGCGUAGGAUAUUUGAGGGGCUCUGACACUAGUACGAGAGGACCGUGUUGGACAGACCACUGGUUUACCGGUUGUACCGCCAGGUGCACCGCCGGGUAUCUAAGUCUGGAUUGGAUAAGUGCUGAAAGCAUCUAAGUACGAAGCCAGCCUCAAGAUGAGAUAUCCCUAGAGGGUCGUUGUAGACUACGACGUAGAUAGGCUACAGGUGUAAGGGCAGCAAUGUCGAAGCCGAGUAGUACUAAUAGCCCGAGACUUUCGAUCAU
Molecule: ribosomal RNA, 2768 nt
Filed under: Parabacteroides merdae
Lineage: Bacteria; Pseudomonadati; Bacteroidota; Bacteroidia; Bacteroidales; Tannerellaceae
Description: 23S ribosomal RNA
Rfam family: Bacterial large subunit ribosomal RNA
Source: RNAcentral